UCAAGUUAUUAAGGGUGUAGGGCGGAUGCCUUGGCACUAGGAGCCGAUGAAAGACGUGAUAAGCUGCGAUAAGCUUCGGGGAGUGGCACAUACACUUUGAUCCGGAGAUUUCUGAAUGAGGAAACUCACUUGGAGUAAUGUCCAAGUAUCCAUAGGUGAAUACAUAGCCUAUGGAGGGGAACUCAGGGAACUGAAACAUCUAAGUACCUGAAGGAAGAGAAAGAAAUUCGAUUCCGCUAGUAGCGGCGAGCGAACGCGGAAGAGCCCAAACCAAGUCAGUUUACUGAUUUGGGGUUGCGGACAUAUCUUAAGGAAAGGUUAUUGCGAGUAGAAUAGGUCUGGAAAGACCAACCACAGAGGGUAAAAGUCCCGUAUACAAAGCCAAGAAAGUUCUUGAUAUGAUCCAGAGUACCACGAGACACGUGAAACCUUGUGGGAAGCAGGGGGGACCACCCCCCAAGGCUAAAUACUACCUAGUGACCGAUAGCGAAUAGUACCGUGAGGGAAAGGUGAAAAGAACCCCGGGAGGGGAGUGAAAUAGAACCUGAAACCCUACACUUACAAGCUGUGGGAGCGCAUUAUUCGCGUGACCGCGUACUUUUUGUAGAACGGGCCAACGAGUUACGUUAUGUGGCAAGGUUAAGCACUUAAGGUGUGGAGCCGAAGCGAAAGCGAGUCUUAACUGGGCGCCAUAGUCACAUGACGUAGACCCGAAACCGGGCGACCUACCCAUGAGCAGGAUGAAGCGAAAGUAAAAUUUCGUGGAGGUCCGAACCCACGUACGUUGAAAAGUGCGGGGAUGACUUGUGGGUAGCGGUGAAAUUCCAAUCGAGCUCGGAGAUAGCUGGUUCUCCCCGAAAUAGCUUUAGGGCUAGCCUUGAAUGUAGAGAUGUGGAGGUAGAGCACUGAAUGUCCUAGGGGGUAUUGCACUUACCGAAGACUAUCAAACUCCGAAUGCCAUUAUCUUUUGUUCAGGAGUCAGACUAUGGGUGAUAAGGUUCAUAGUCGAAAGGGAAAGAGCCCAGACCGUCAGCUAAGGUCCCUAAAUGUAUGUUAAGUGGUAAAGGAUGUGGGAUUGCACAGACAACCAGGAUGUUGGCUUAGAAGCAGCCACUCAUUUAAAGAGUGCGUAAUAGCUCACUGGUCGAGUGAUCCUGCGCCGAAGAUUUCCGGGGCUAAAACAUACUACCGAAGCUACGGCAUCAUAUGAUGAUGGGUAGGGGAGCUUCCCAUGCAGGCUGAAGCGAUACCGUAAGGAGUCGUGGACAGUAUGGGAGAGAGAAUGUUGGCAUGAGUAGCGAGAUGAGGGUGAGAAUCCCUCAGGCCGUAAACCCAAGGUUUCCAGGGGAAGGUUCGUCCUCCCUGGGUUAGUCGGGACCUAAGCUCAGGCCGAAAGGCGUAGGCGAUGGACAACAGGUUGAGAUUCCUGUACUACCGAUAAUCGUUUGAGAGAAGGGAUGACACAGUAGGAUAAGCUGAGCACACUGUUGGUUAUGUGUGUCUAAGCGUUGAGGCAGACUAGAUAGGCAAAUCCGUUUAGUUAAUGCUGGGGCGCGAUGGGGAGCGAAACUAAGUAGCGAAGCAGCUGAUUUCACACUGUCGAGAAAAGUCUCUAUCGAGAUUAAAGGUACCCGUACCGCAAACCGACACAGGUGGGUGAGGAGAGUAUCCUAAGGCCAGCGAGAGAACUGUUGUUAAGGAACUCGGCAAAAUGACCCCGUAACUUAGGGAUAAGGGGUGCCCCAGCAAUGGGGCCGCAGAGAAUUGGCCCAAGCGACUGUUUACCAAAAACAUAGGUUUCUGCUAAGUCGCAAGACGAUGUAUAGGAGCUGACGCCUGCCCGGUGCUGGAAGGUUAAGGGGAUCUGUUAGAGCAAUCGAAGCAGUGAUCUUAAGCCCCAGUAAACGGCGGCCGUAACUAUAACGGUCCUAAGGUAGCGAAAUUCCUUGUCGGGUAAGUUCCGACCCGCACGAAAGGCGUAAUGAU
RNAcentral lists this ribosomal RNA (1986 nucleotides) under human oral metagenome. RNAcentral's name for it is "bacterial LSU rRNA". It matches the Rfam family "Bacterial large subunit ribosomal RNA", at positions 3 to 2008 of the family's 2925-position model. The record is from RNAcentral.